UGUUUAGUAGAAGUAUGUCCCAAGCAAUAUUUGGGACAUGUUUAUACUAAAA
RNAcentral lists this microRNA precursor (52 nucleotides) under Sus scrofa (pig). RNAcentral describes it as "mir-1302 microRNA precursor family". It matches the Rfam family "mir-1302 microRNA precursor family". Lineage: Eukaryota; Metazoa; Chordata; Mammalia; Artiodactyla; Suidae. The record is from Rfam by way of RNAcentral.